This 456-nucleotide ribosomal RNA is filed under the name Centipeda dianae. Its description in RNAcentral is "bacterial SSU rRNA". It matches the Rfam family "Bacterial small subunit ribosomal RNA", at positions 28 to 463 of the family's 1533-position model. The record is from RNAcentral. Lineage: Bacteria; Bacillati; Bacillota; Negativicutes; Selenomonadales; Selenomonadaceae.
GACGAACGCUGGCGGCGUGCUUAACACAUGCAAGUCGAACGGGAUGAUCUUAAAGCUUGCUUUUCGAGAAUCUAGUGGCAAACGGGUGAGUAACACGUAGACAACCUGCCGACAGGAUGGGGACAACAUUCCGAAAGGAAUGCUAAUACCGAAUGAAGCGGAGGAGAGGCAUCUCUCCUCCGUGAAAGAUGGCCUCUUUUUAUGCUAUCACCUGUCGAUGGGUCUGCGUCUGAUUAGCUGGUUGGUGAGGUAACGGCUCACCAAGGCGACGAUCAGUAGCCGGUCUGAGAGGAUGAACGGCCACAUUGGGACUGAGACACGGCCCAGACUCCUACGGGAGGCAGCAGUGGGGAAUCUUCCGCAAUGGGCGCAAGCCUGACGGAGCAACGCCGCGUGAGUGAAGAAGGUCUUCGGAUCGUAAAGCUCUGUUGACGGGGACGAACGUGCGAGAGGUGA